Molecule: ribosomal RNA, 463 nt
Filed under: uncultured bacterium
Lineage: Bacteria
Description: partial 16S ribosomal RNA
Rfam family: Bacterial small subunit ribosomal RNA
Source: RNAcentral
GAUGAACGCUGACAGAAUGCUUAACACAUGCAAGUCGAUGGGGAAGUGGUGCUUGCACCAUGGCAACCAUGGCGGACGGGUGAGUAACGCGUAAGGGACUUACCUGCAGGACUGGGAUAACAGGGGGAAACUCCUGACAAGACCGGAUAAUGUCAUGGAGCUGCAUGGCUUUAUGAUGAAAGGAGACGCCUGCGGAGAGCCUUGCGUCCUAUUAGCUAGUUGGUGAGGUAAUGGCUCACCAAGGCGAAGAUAGGUAGCCGGCCUGAGAGGGUGGACGGCCACAAGGGGACUGAGAUACGGCCCUUACUCCUACGGGAGGCAGCAGUGGGGAAUAUUGGACAAUGGGGGCAACCCUGAUCCAGCAAUUCUGUGUGCACGAAGAAGGUUUUCGGAUUGUAAAGUGCUUUCAGCAGGGAAGAAGUAAGUGACGGUACCUGCAGAAGAAGCGACGGCUAACUACGUG